CAGCAAAGCCCCACAAAACUUAAAAACCAAAAGCAUUCUAUUAAAAGCCUCUGUUGCAUCUUUUUCUUUCUCACAAAGUAAUGGAGAUCAGCAGAAAGGAACGUACCAUGGAAGGAGAGGAGAAUGAGGAGAUGGAUUUGACACCAUUCUGGCUCCAAUCCACCGCCGAUCACCGCCGCCGCCGCGGUGUCUCCUCCUUCUUCCUCAGUUCUGGCUUGGUGGUUUUUCUGCUGCUGGUAAUGGCUGCUGCUUUCUUGGCUUUUGUUCUGCCUUCGACCCUGUCAUUCAGUGCUCAGAUCUUUAGGCCAAACAGUGUUAAAAAAAGUUGGGAUUCUUUGAAUGUAGUUCUUGUUUUGGUUGCUGUUGUGUUUGGAUUUCUUAGUAGGAAUAAGAACGAGGAGAGGUAUGGAUACUAUGAUGGAUUUCAGAAUCAAGAGAUUCGUGGUAAAGAAAGUGAGACGCAGAAAUCGAGUAGUGGUAAGUGGGAAUUUGAUCGAACAGAUGGUGGGCAAAGUUUGAAUCUUUCGAAUUCGAGAGAAUGGUUUGGAUUUUCAGAUAGCUUUGAGAGGAAGAAUUCUUUCUUGAGAAGAAAUAGCAUUUCUUACCCUGAUCUGCGUGAAUCCUCGUCCGUUGAUCUUUGGGAUUACGGUGGAGAUUAUCGGCGGAGAUUUUACGAUGAUUACUAUGCUGAUCCGGGCCGGGUCACCGAUUCGGGUCGGGUGCACCGCCGCCACCGGAGCUUGGAAGAAGUUGAGAUACAGAGCCGGUCACCGCCACCGCCACCGCCACCGCCGACUAAGACUAUAAUUGUUGACACAUUGGUGACGAAAUCCAAUGAAGCUGAAAACAUUCCGCCGCCGCCUACAGCGGCGCCGGUGGCGGAGCCUUCGGAUGAGAAGCCGAAGGGAAAAGGUAGAAAGGAGAGAUCUAAAAGGAAACCGAGCAAGGAUUUGGAACAGAUGCGUUCGACUAUGGUGUCAACACCUCCGCCGUCACCGCCGCCGCCGCCGCCGCAGCAGCAGAAGAGCAGCAAAAGCGACAGGAAAAGAGGCGGAGCGACGGGAAGUGCAACGAAGGAGUUUCUGAAUUCUCUUUACCAUAAGAAGAAGAAAAAGCAGAGGCAAAAAAGCGUCGAUAAUUUGGAUUCUCUUCUCCACGAAGCUCCGCCUCCAUUAAGCUUCCAUCUCUCGCCGCCGACGGCGCAAUCGCCGUCGCCGUCGUCGUCGUCGUCUCCGUCGCAGUCGGUGCUGCAAAACCUAUUCUCAUCCAAGAAACAGAAACGGAAGAGAACCAUAAAGGUCACACUCGCGCCUCACCCAAAACCAAACCCUAAUUCCCAAAUCGGACAAUCGAGCACUCAAAAUCCGCAGAAACCGAUCAAAUUACGCACCUUCGAGAAAUUGGAAGAGACCUCCAACAGCGGCGGCGAAUCUCCGCUCAACCGCAUUCCGCCGCCUCCGCCUCCGCCGCCGCCGGGGUUCUUCAAAACCCCUGCCUGGAAGUUCGUGGUGCAAGGCGACUACGUCAGAGUGAACAGCACGGCCAGCUCCCGGAGCGGGUCGCCCGACACGGAAGAUCUGGAUUCCGACUUCACGCCGUCCGCCGCGUUCGGCGGCAAUACGACGCCGUUCCAUCCAUCGCCGCUGUUCUGCGCCAGCCCCGACGUCAACACCAAAGCCGAGAGCUUCAUUACCAGUUUCCGCGCCAAAUUGAAGCUGGAGAAGAUCCAUUCAAUGAAUAAACGCGAGCCGGGCUUAUCCACUCUCGGCCCGAGACAGAUUUGAACACAUUGCUGGACAGAAAUCAACAUGGAAUUGGAUAAGGAUUUCGAUUGCUUUCAUUCAUAGAAAUGCAAGUUUUGAAUAAUCCCCUGUUAUGGGCUGAAUCAACCUUGCUCGAGUGCCUCGAUCCCGAUUCGACUGAAGAACACGACUGGGCUGCUGAACUGAAACCACAUCACGACAACAUUAUUUCUAUCACAUCAAAUCAGCACGGCGGCAUCGUGAGCUUGCACUUUCCGGGGACUUGCUUGGCGAGGCCGCGGUCGAUCUGAGGCGGCAAACGAG
Andrographis paniculata is the source of this 2066-nucleotide RNA transcript. RefSeq lists it as uncharacterized. The record is from RefSeq and is a predicted model, not a curated record. The transcript has 3 exons. Lineage: Eukaryota; Viridiplantae; Streptophyta; Magnoliopsida; Lamiales; Acanthaceae.